GAUGAACGCUGGCGGCGUGCCUAAUACAUGCAAGUCGAGCGAAGCGGGGACGGGGGAGUAACACGUGGAUAACCUCCUAUAAGACUGGGAUAACUUCGGGAAACCGGAGCUAAACCGGAUACUUAGAGAUGGAGUCGAGCUGCAUUAGCUGGUUGGUAGGGUAACGGCUUACCAAGGCAACGAUGCAUAGCCGACCUGAGAGGGUGAUCGGCCACACUGGAACUGAGACACGGUCCAGACUCCUACGGGAGGCAGCAGGAGGGAAUCUUCCGCAAUGGGCGAAAGCCUGACGGAGCAACGCCGCGUGAGUGAUGAAGGUCUUCGGAUCGUAAAACUCUGUUAUUAGGGAAGCGGUACCUAAUCAGAAAGCCACGGCUAACUACGUGCCAGCCGCCGCGGUAAUUC
Molecule: ribosomal RNA, 405 nt
Filed under: uncultured bacterium
Lineage: Bacteria
Description: partial 16S ribosomal RNA
Rfam family: Bacterial small subunit ribosomal RNA
Source: RNAcentral